CAGCGCACUGUCUGUGCCUUUCCCCUCCUGCACCCAGAACUGUCCCCACAGCCCCCACCAUGCAGUCUGCCCUCACUUUGGUUUCCAUCCUGAUCCUACUUCAAGGUGUCCAGGGCGAGAUCCAGCUGGAGGAGUCUGGAGGAGAUGUGAAACAGCCUGGAGGGUCUCUCCGCCUCUCCUGUAAAGCCUCUGGAUUCACCUUUAGCAGCUAUGCAAUGCACUGGGUCCGCCAGGCUCCAGGGAAGGGGCUCGAGUGGGUUGCAGCAAUAAGUAGUAGUGGUAGCAGUACAUACUACGCAGACUCUGUGAAAGGCCGAUUCACCAUCACCAGAGACAACUCCAACAGCCUGCUGAAUCUGCAAAUGAACAGCCUGAAAACCGAGGACAUGGCCCUCUAUUACUGUGCGAAAGACACAAUGAGAGAAACCACAUCCUGA
This is a non-coding RNA of Tachyglossus aculeatus (Australian echidna), 437 nucleotides long. The record is from the annotation of a RefSeq genome assembly. NCBI's taxonomy places the organism in Eukaryota, Metazoa, Chordata, Mammalia, Monotremata, Tachyglossidae.